UACGUAGGGGGCAAGCGUUGUCCGGAUUUAUUGGGCGUAAAGAGCGUGUAGGCGGCUGGGUAGGUCCGCUGUGAAAACUCGAGGCUUAACCUCGAGACGUCGGUGGAAACCAUCCAGCUAGAGUCCGGAAGAGGAGAGUGGAAUUCCUGGUGUAGCGGUGAAAUGCGCAGAUAUCAGGAAGAACACCCGUGGCGAAAGCGGCUCUCUGGGACGGUACUGACGCUGAGACGCGAAAGCCGGGGGAGCAAACAGG
This 253-nucleotide ribosomal RNA is filed under the name uncultured bacterium. RNAcentral's name for it is "partial 16S ribosomal RNA". It matches the Rfam family "Bacterial small subunit ribosomal RNA", at positions 524 to 776 of the family's 1533-position model. The record is from RNAcentral.